Small nucleolar RNA from Carya illinoinensis, 139 nucleotides. RefSeq annotates it as small nucleolar RNA Z247. The record is from RefSeq and is a predicted model, not a curated record. NCBI's taxonomy places the organism in Eukaryota, Viridiplantae, Streptophyta, Magnoliopsida, Fagales, Juglandaceae. The transcript has a single exon.
CCUCUAACUGAUUGUGAGCUCAUUAGUUACAUUCUUGCAAGGCUUGGUUCAGAGUAUGAUCCACUUAUAACCUCCCUCACAGCUUGACUUGAACCCAUGAACCUCCAAGAGACAUAUGGGCACCUACUCAAUUAUAAGC